ACAGGCGUGAGCCACUGUGCCCGGCAGCACCUUUUCUUUAUGGACAUAGAUUUUGGUAUUUCCUUUACCAAAGGGAAGAUAGGUGGGACUACUUCUGGUUAUAUGCUUUGCUUUAGGCUUGAAGAAUAGUUGCUCUAAAGAUUUUACUUUGUGAAAGACCCAAGGUUGAAAUGAGUCGGAUUCAUCGGAAUCCAUUACUUUUCCAGGGAAUAGGAUUUUAAAUGAAAAGCUAAGCAUCCUCUCUUUCAAUAUCUGCCCUCACAGUGUGCCUGAGUUGCAUUUACACUUAGAGUGACAGAUGAGACUCGGUUGUGUGUGUGGUUGGAAGGCUGUGCUCACGCAGUGUGAGAUCAGCCCCUGGGUGGUGAGCGCUCACUGGACUGGCAUGCACGAACUUGUAGUGGCAGAGACAAGUGAAAGCAUGUCAUUUCUGCAUGGAUCCCAGUGGUGGCAGAUAGGUGUUUGGCGUUAGAACAGGCAGAAACACCUGUUUUCCAAUCUGUAAUGAAAGAACUGUGUAAUAACAUGCAAUUUGUACAAUUACCAGUGUCUCUACCAUAGUGAUCAGAUUACAUUUGUUGCCAAGCAUCUUGAUCAGGGAAGUGGAGUAUGAGUAAGUCAGAGAGGAAAUAUUUAGCAGUGACCACUGUCAAGCUGGAAAGACCUAUAGAGCUUCCAUUCUGUCCCUUUGCUUCAGGAUGGGGAAGGGAAGCCACUCCACUGAUGUGUAGUGCUGUGAGGACCUUUCUGAAAUUGGGCAAAGAGCUCAGCACUUUGAGUCCAUGAGAAAUAAAACUGACCAGACGUUAAGUAGCAGGUGAGGACCACAGUGAAAGAUCCUGCAGCCUCUCCCAUGGAUUUCUGCAGAUGGGUGAGUUGUGCCUUCAAGGCACCACGUCUUACAGAGAUCCUCUGAGAAAGGUGGAGCAGCGUAUGCCUAGGAUGAUGCAGAAAUUGACAUGUGCCUUCCUGAUAAGUGUUCUGAAAUAAAGCACUAAAUAGCAGUAGACUAGGUUGGCAAACUCAAUCAGAUGGGCUUAGAGAUAACAAUUCCAGAAUAGUAUCCGCAAGGGACAGGGCACCAGGUGAACUGGCUGCGUAAUCCAUGUGUCUGGUUGUUCAUUGAAUUUAAGGAACACAGUGGAGGCUGGGUGCAGUGGCUGACACCUAUAAUCCCAACACUUUGGGAGGCCAAGGUGGGUGGAUCACCUGAGGUCAGGAGUUCAAGACCAGCCUGGCCAAAGUGGCAAAACCCCGUCGCUACUAAAAACAGAAAUUAGCUGGGUUUGGUGGCACAUGCCUGCAGUUCCAGCUACUCGGGAGGCUGAGGCAGGAGAAUUGCUUGAACCUGGGAGGUGGAGGUUGCAGUGAGCUGAGAUCACGCCACUGCACUCCAGCCUGGCGACAGUGAGACUCCGUCUCAAAAAAAAAAAAGAGAAACAGUGGAAUCUUGUAAUAAAAGCCAUCACUGCUACAGCUGUGGAAAAUGGGAAUACUCGGUCGUAUUUUCUGGACAGUUUUUGAUGGUCUCCAUCUUCCCUGGAAUUGACAGGCCUCGUGCAUUGUGCGUCAGCAGCAAUGUUUAUGGUGAAAAAUGGCAACGGGACCGCGUGCAUAAUGGCCAACUUCUCUGCUUCCUUCUCAGUGAACUAUGACACCAAGAGUGGCCCUAAGAACAUGACCUUUGACCUGCCAUCAGAUGCCACAGUGGUGCUCAACCGCAGCUCCUGUGGAAAAGAGAACACUUCUGACCCCAGUCUCGUGAUUGCUUUUGGAAGAGGACAUACACUCACUCUCAAUUUCACGAGAAAUGCAACACGUUACAGCGUCCAGCUCAUGAGUUUUGUUUAUAACUUGUCAGACACACACCUUUUCCCCAAUGCAAGCUCCAAAGAAAUCAAGACUGUGGAAUCUAUAACUGACAUCAGGGCAGAUAUAGAUAAAAAAUACAGAUGUGUUAGUGGCACCCAGGUCCACAUGAACAACGUGACCGUAACGCUCCAUGAUGCCACCAUCCAGGCAUACCUUUCCAACAGCAGCUUCAGCAGGGGAGAGACACGCUGUGAACAAGACAGGCCUUCCCCAACCACAGCGCCCCCUGCGCCACCCAGCCCCUCGCCCUCACCUGUGCCCGAGAGCCCCUCUGUGGACAAGUACAACGUGAGCGGCACCAACGGGACCUGCCUGCUGGCCAGCAUGGGGCUGCAGCUGAACCUCACCUAUGAGAGGAAGGACAACACGACGGUGACAAGGCUUCUCAACAUCAACCCCAACAAGACCUCGGCCAGCGGGAGCUGCGGCGCCCACCUGGUGACUCUGGAGCUGCACAGCGAGGGCAGCACUGUCCUGCUCUUCCUGUUCGGGAUGGUGAGGCUGGGGCGGCGCCUCCCUGGGGGCGCCCACUGUGUCUCCACCACGUCUUUUUGUGCCCUGAGUCUGCUCAUGGGAGGCAGCGUUAGGAAGGAGGCGGCCUCACUUUUUUCUGCCUUCCCUUUAUCCUGGGCUUUUUAGUUCCUUGGUUCCCCUCCCCCUUUUCCAUUCCAUUCAUAGAUGCAGCAGAUGAUGUGGGCGGGGCUGCUGUGCCCACAGUUGGAGUGGCUGCAGGGGAGGGGAUGCAGGCCGUGCGGCCUUCUGGCUUCAGAUGCUGCUGCCCUGUGGUUCCGUGGUGGCAUUUCUGCCUGGGAGGACUCCUGUGUAGUUAGCAACAUAAGACAUGAAGCAUAUAAUUGUCACUUGUCAGUCUUUUUAAAUCGCUGUGCAAAUGAAUUAACAGCUCAGUUUCUUAUAAUUUUAGCUUUCCAAAUCAUGCUUUCCUGUGCCGUGAUAGCUCCUGCAGUCCCCGUUUUCCAGAGACUCUGACUCUCAAGAGGUCUGGAAGGACCAGCCUGGGCAGCACAGGGAGGCUCCGUUUCUGCAAAUAAUAAAACGAGUUAGCUGGGCGUAGUGGCGCACACCUGUGGUCCCAGCUACUUGGGAGGCUGAGGUGGGAGGAUCACUUGAGCCCAGGAGUUAAGGUUGCGAUGAGCCAUGAUCACUCCACUGCACUCCAGCCUGGGUGACAGAGCAAGACUCUCAGAGAAGGGUCUGGAAGGAACUAACUAAAAUUUUCAUUCCCCAGAGAUACACAACGCCUUUUAUAGACAAGAUCUUUUGCAGUUUUGUUCUAAUACUAGAAAUGUAGGAAGUCAGGUUUAUUACCCAAUGACCAUUCACCUUUGAUGAUAAAUGUGUGAAUCUACUGGGGUUAAAGAUCAUCUUUCUAUGAAUCUGCUCCGUGAUUAAAGAUCAUUUUUCUUUUUAAGAAUGCAAGUUCUAGCCGGUUUUUCCUACAAGGAAUCCAGUUGAAUACAACUCUUCCUGACGCCAGAGACCCUGCCUUUAAAGCUGCCAACGGCUCCCUGCGAGCGCUGCAGGCCACCGUCGGCAAUUCCUACAAGUGCAACGCCGAGGAGCACGUCCGUGUCACGAAGGCGUUUUCAGUCAAUAUAUUCAAAGUGUGGGUCCAGGCUUUCAAGGUGGAAGGUGGCCAGUUUGGCUCUGGUGAGUGUCACCGAGGGCAGCUGUCGCGGGGUGUGGAGGACGUGCUUCAGACUCCGCCUGUGGACGUUUAGUCGCUUCUGUGUGGGCUGGGGCGACGCCCCUGUUCCUCUGCAAGGAGCUGUUUCUUCUUCCCGGUCUGAGAUUCUAGAGGUAACUCCCCCUGCUUUAGAGAGGCCCAGCGUGUCUCUCAGCUGGGAGCCCCUGGUACCAUUUGAGAGUAAGGGAAUCAUUUUAAGAAACAGUGGUGGCGCUUCUCCCAUGAACGUUGAAUACAGCACUGUCAUCUGAUGUGCACAGAGGCCCUGGACGCAGCACAGCUGUCCGGCCACAGCCCCUGAUUCCAGACGGGGGAGAGACGUGUGGUUUCCUCGCCGUGCAGAGAGCACCAGUCUCUGCAGCGGCUUCCCCAAGUGACAAUUCCAGCUAGAGCUGGAACCUUCCGCCAGGGUUCCUCUUUGCCUUUUGGCUGAUGUGGGGGAGUGGUGGGGAGAGAGGCCUGUUUGCAGGCCCCUGUGUGAGCAGAGCCCUGACACCAUCCGUCUGUCUUGGCAGUGGAGGAGUGUGUGCUGGACGAGAACAACAUGCUGAUCCCCAUCGCUGUGGGUGGUGCCCUGGCGGGGCUGGUCCUCAUCGUCCUCAUCGCCUACCUCGUCGGCAGGAAGAGGAGUCACGCCGGCUACCAGACUAUCUAGCCUGGUGCACGCAGGCACAGCAGCUGCAGGGGCCUCUGUUCCUUUCUCUGGGCUUAGGGUCCUGUCGAAGGGGAGGCACACUUUCUGGCAAACGUUUCUCAAAUCUGCUUCAUCCAAUGUGAAGUUCAUCUUGCAGCAUUUACUAUGCACAACAGAGUAACUAUCGAAAUGACGGUGUUAAUUUUGCUAACUGGGUUAAAUAUUUUGCUAACUGGUUAAACAUUAAUAUUUACCAAAGUAGGAUUUUGAGGGUGGGGGUGCCGCUGUCUCUGAGGGGGUGGGGGUGCCGCUCUCUCUGAGGGGUGGGGUGCUGCUCUCUCCGAGGGGUGGGGUGCCGCUCUAAAUUGGCUCCACAUCAUUUGACUUUAGGGUUCUGGUGUUUGGUUUCUUCAUUCUUUACUGCACUCAGAUUUAAGCCUUACAAAGGGAAAACCUCUGGCCGUCACACGUAGGACGCAUGAAGGUCACUGGUCGUGAGGCUGACAUGCUCACACAUUACAACAGUAGAGAGGGAAAAUCCUAAGACAGAGGAACUCCAGAGAUGAGUGUCUGGAGCGCUUCAGUUCAGCUUUAAAGGCCAGGACGGGCCACACGCGGCUGGCGGCCUCGUUCCAGUGGCGGCAUGUCCUUGGGCGUCUCUAAUGUCUGCAGCUCAAGGGCUGGCACUUUUUUAAAUAUAAAAAUGGGUGUUAUUUUUAUUUUUUUUUGUAAAGUGAUUUUUGGUCUUCUGUUGACAUUCGGGGUGAUCCUGUUUUGCGCUGUGUACAGUGUGAGAUCGGUGCGUUCUGAUGUCUCGCCGUGGCCUGGGGGUUGUACACAGGAGCAGCUCACGCCAUGCAUUGCCUGUAACAAUGUAAUAAAAAGCCUCUUUCUUUUUUGG
Molecule: small RNA, 5112 nt
Filed under: Pan troglodytes (chimpanzee)
Lineage: Eukaryota; Metazoa; Chordata; Mammalia; Primates; Hominidae
Description: retained intron
Source: RNAcentral